Molecule: ribosomal RNA, 459 nt
Filed under: uncultured bacterium
Lineage: Bacteria
Description: partial 16S ribosomal RNA
Rfam family: Bacterial small subunit ribosomal RNA
Source: RNAcentral
CCUACGGGGGGCAGCAGUGAGGAAUAUUGGUCAAUGGUCGGGAGACUGAACCAGCCAAGCCGCGUGAGGGAUGAAGGUACAGAGUAUCGUAAACCUCUUUUGUCAGGGAACAAAGGCGGGGACGCGUCCCCGGAUGAGUGUACCUGAAGAAAAAGCAUCGCCUAACUCCGUGCCAGCAGCCGCGGUAAUAGGAAGGAUGCGAGCGUUAUCCGGUUUUAUUGGGUUUAAAGGGUGCGCAGGCGGUCUGUUAAGUCAGCGGGCAAAGCACGGGGCUCAACCCCGGCCCGCCGUUGAAACUGGCAGUCUCGAGUUGGAGAGAGGUAUGCGGAAUGCGCGGUGUAGCGGUGAAAUGCAUAGAUAUCGCGCAGAACUCCGAUUGCGAAGGCAGCAUGCCGGCUCCACACUGACGCUGAGGCACGAAAGCGUGGGUAUCGAACAGGAUUAGAUACCCUUGUAGUC